This 417-nucleotide long non-coding RNA is filed under the name Fukomys damarensis (Damara mole-rat). RNAcentral describes it as "lncRNA (ENSFDAG00000022795.1)". The record is from RNAcentral. Lineage: Eukaryota; Metazoa; Chordata; Mammalia; Rodentia; Bathyergidae.
UUCACAUUAUUUUUACAUGACAUGAAAUAUUCUUCUCCUUUUGAUUUUUUUCAACAGUUAAAAAAUGUGGAAACUGUUCUCAGUUUGCAGGCCACACAGAAGCUGGCUGUCGACUGGGUGUGGGUCCUGAGCUGCAUUUCGGUCGCUGCUGAUUCCAUUUGUUUAUUGAGCCAAGUCAGUUUCUCUGCUGUGUGGAAGGUGGGGAUGCAGGACAAGGAACGAUCCGCAUAUCGCCGACCGUCCACACCGUCGCAGGACAGGCUGAGCUCAGGAGGGUGAGCACCCGAAAGCCGGUUUCAGGUACGUUAACACGUAUGGGUAAAAUGCGUUAUAAAGGGGCAGGGGAAUGGACUGCUGUGGGCCAAGGAGCCCCAGGCUACUUUACAUGCAAACCUCUUCCUCCUCCCUCCUUCCCAC